Molecule: ribosomal RNA, 446 nt
Filed under: uncultured bacterium
Lineage: Bacteria
Description: partial 16S ribosomal RNA
Rfam family: Bacterial small subunit ribosomal RNA
Source: RNAcentral
CCUACGGGAGGCAGCAGUCGAGAAUCAUUCACAAUGGGGGAAACCCUGAUGGUGCGACGCCGCGUGGGGGAAUGAAGGUCUUCGGAUUGUAAACCCCUGUCAUGUGGGAGCAAAUUAAAAAGAUAGUACCACACGAGGAAGAGACGGCUAACUCUGUGCCAGCAGCCGCGGUAAUACAGAGGUCUCAAGCGUUGUUCGGAAUCACUGGGCGUAAAGCGUGCGUAGGCUGUUUCGUAAGUCGUGUGUGAAAGGCGCGGGCUCAACCCGCGGAUGGCACAUGAUACUGCGAGACUAGAGUAAUGGAGGGGGAACCGGAAUUCUCGGUGUAGCAGUGAAAUGCGUAGAUAUCGAGAGGAACACUCGUGGCGAAGGCGGGUUCCUGGACAUUAACUGACGCUGAGGCACGAAGGCCAGGGGAGCGAAAGGGAUUAGAUACCCGAGUAGUC